Molecule: ribosomal RNA, 495 nt
Filed under: uncultured bacterium
Lineage: Bacteria
Description: partial 16S ribosomal RNA
Rfam family: Bacterial small subunit ribosomal RNA
Source: RNAcentral
GACGAACGCUGGCGGCGUGCCUAAUACAUGCAAGUAGAACGCUGAAGGAGGAGCUUGCUUCUCUGGAUGAGUUGCGAACGGGUGAGUAACGCGUAGGUAACCUGCCUGGUAGCGGGGGAUAACUAUUGGAAACGAUAGCUAAUACCGCAUAAUAGUAGAUGUUGCAUGACAUUUGCUUAAAAGGUGCAAUUGCAUCACUACCAGAUGGACCUGCGUUGUAUUAGCUAGUUGGUGAGGUAACGGCUCACCAAGGCAACGAUAUAUAGCCGACCUGAGAGGGUGAUCGGCCACACUGGGACUGAGACACGGCCCAGACUCCUACGGGAGGCAGCAGUAGGGAAUCUUCGGCAAUGGACGGAAGUCUGACCGAGCAACGCCGCGUGAGUGAAGAAGGUUUUCGGAUCGUAAAGCUCUGUUGUAAGAGAAGAACGAGUGUGAGAGUGGAAAGUUCACACUGUGACGGUAUCUUACCAGAAAGGGACGGCUAACUACGUG